Molecule: long non-coding RNA, 259 nt
Filed under: Citrus maxima (pomelo)
Lineage: Eukaryota; Viridiplantae; Streptophyta; Magnoliopsida; Sapindales; Rutaceae
Description: long non-coding RNA (CMAX_LNC000890)
Source: RNAcentral
AUUUAUUCUAAUGUCGACAUUUGUUCUGGUUGCUUUAAUUUACUAAGAAACAAUUUUGUAAAAAACAAAAUGAAUUCCAGAGGAAACUGAAAAGCCACCAACCAAGCAAUUUAUUCAGAUAAAUCACUUCAAAUUCUACGAAAAUGCCAAUCACUUGAAUAGUUAUUUUGCCAUCUAUCCAGCAUACAUUCAUCAACUAGAACACAAGAAAACAACUUCUAAAUAAAUUCAAGUAAAGUACUUAAGAAAUCCUAAACUU